RNAcentral lists this ribosomal RNA (170 nucleotides) under uncultured bacterium. Its description in RNAcentral is "partial 16S ribosomal RNA". It matches the Rfam family "Bacterial small subunit ribosomal RNA", at positions 1323 to 1500 of the family's 1533-position model. The record is from RNAcentral.
AAGUUGGAUUCGCUAGUAAUCGCGCAUCAGCCAUGGCGCGGUGAAUACGUUCCCGGGCCUUGUACACACCGCCCGUCAAGCCAUGGAAGCUGGGGGUGCCUGAAGUUCGUGACCGCAAGGAGCGACCUAGGGCAAAACCGGUGACUGGGGCUAAGUCGUAACAAGGUAUC